Molecule: ribosomal RNA, 263 nt
Filed under: uncultured bacterium
Lineage: Bacteria
Description: partial 16S ribosomal RNA
Rfam family: Bacterial small subunit ribosomal RNA
Source: RNAcentral
CACGUAGGUGGCGAGCGUUAUUCGGAUUCACUGGGCGUAAAGGGUCCGCAGGGGGCCUGCCAAGUCUGUCGUGAAAACCCGGGGCUCAACCCCGGGCCUGCGGUGGAUACUGGCGGGCUCGAGUGCGCGAUGGGCAGACGGAACACCUGGUGUAGCGGUGGAAUGCGUGGAUAUCAGGUGGAACACCGAUGGCGAAGGCGGUCUGCUGGCGCGUCACUGACCCUCAUGGACGAAAGCGUGGGUAGCGAACAGGAUUAGAUACC